UGACGUCAAGUCAUCAGGCCCUUACGACCAGGGCGUACACACGUGCUACAAUGGCGCAUACAAAGAGAAGCGACCUCGCGAGAGCAAGCGGACCUCAUAAAGGUGCGUCGUAGUCCGGAUUGGAGUCUGCAACUCGACUCCAUGAAGUCGGAAUCGCUAGUAAUCGUGGAUCAGAAUGCCACGGUGAAUACGUUCCCGGGCCUUGUACACACCGCCCGUCACACCAUGGGAGUGGGUUGCAAAAGAAGUAGGUAGCUUAACCUUCGGGAGGGCGCUUACCACUUUGUGAUUCAUGACUGGGGUGAAGUCGUAACAAGGUAACCGUAGGGGAACCUGCGGUUGGAUCACCUCCUUACCUUAAAGAAGC
Molecule: ribosomal RNA, 367 nt
Filed under: Escherichia sp. E1130
Lineage: Bacteria; Pseudomonadati; Pseudomonadota; Gammaproteobacteria; Enterobacterales; Enterobacteriaceae
Description: bacterial SSU rRNA
Rfam family: Bacterial small subunit ribosomal RNA
Source: RNAcentral